UCUCCACUGGAAUCAGCAACUCCCUGGAACUCGGGCCUCUGGCCCCGUCCCUCUUUUCUCCGGCAGGGACGCAGGAUGCCUUGGUGCACUCUAGAGACGGGGACCGGAGGGUGCAGCGCGCCUGGGUGGGGCGAAGGGCGCCGGUCUCCUCACGCCCUCUGACUUUAGGAUACCAGACAGUGUCUCUUCAACCCCACCCCAGGCGCAGGUUUCCAGAAGGCGGGGUGGGUGGGGCCCCCGAUUUCCAGAAGGCGAGUUACCUAGCAGGAGAAAAAUCAAGACGUUCCCUUCAGUCCUCCCUCGGUGUUAACGUCUGCUCCAGCUCGCAGCCCGCUGCUGGGCAUUUUAUUAAUGCUUUUACGAGUUAGAAGAGUUGGGAUAAUUUGCCAUCUGGAGUUUCUCUGCCUUGCUGAUCUGAGCUCAGACCUGCCAAUUUACCAGAGAUAAUUGAUAACACCCUGUAACAGCUGAGAGGAAAAUGGAAGAAACGGAGAUACUUUUAGUGAAGCAGAAUAAACCACUGAACAGUCUGUUUCAUCUUCAUAAAAACGCUGCUUUCAGUGCACUGGAUUUAUUUUACAACCCACUAAUGGAUUACCCUACAGUUUGAAAAACAUUGCGUUAGACCAGUUUGACUGUUGUCAAGAACCAAAAAAGGAAAAAUGAGGAAGCUGUGAGUACCAGUGGAAGGAACGAGCCAGGAAGAGGGACUGGAACCAUCUCAGAAGCCAUGCCCCUCAGGCUGGAACUUGCCCUGUCUCCUCGCAGAUGAGCUACCUCUUGUGUUUAAGAAUUAAAGGAAGAUGAGCUAGGAAUCAAGAAAUACGCAGAACUGAUUCCUGUCACUGGCGCCACCCUGCCACUUGCCCAGAGCUGUGGUAUAAAUUUUUUUAAUAGGCUGAAAUAAAAAUAUGAAUAGCAUUUUGGUAUUAAGCAUUAAAUUGAUAAAGGCUAUGAGAUACACCUGCUCUCAACCAUGUUAAUUUUUUAUUAUUGGUAUUAAUAAAUUAUUACUUACUAACAUAUUAACAAGAAUUGCAUUGAGAAACAAAGCAUCCACAGGCCAAAUCUUCUGAAUUUCAAAUGUUUAUAUUAAUGCGUUGUAUUCUAGAAAAGUAGAAUUGUCUUAAGUAGCUUUGUAAUAUAAAGUCAUCUAUCAGCCCAUUACACCUAUUAGAAUGUUUUAACCUUUAUUUCCCACUUUUUUGUUUCUAGACUGAGUGUACUUGGUCUGGUAUUUGUGGCAUAACUUACGGAACACAUAAGAAUGAUACAGAUACUAUUUAAUGAUGACCUAAUACAAGCUUAGAUAGCUAAGGUGAAAGCUUCUAUGGCCUUAACAUUUUCCUCUUGAAGAAUGUAUUUUCUGUAAUAAAAUACAGUGGCUACUUGAAAUCUAUAAACUUAUGUGAGGUCUGGAUAAAUCUGAGCAACUUUCUUCUUUGUGCUCCAGGAACCUACGCACUAUAUAUAUAAAUAAAGCUUAAGUAAACAUCACUGC
RNAcentral lists this long non-coding RNA (1501 nucleotides) under Homo sapiens (human). RNAcentral's name for it is "long intergenic non-protein coding RNA, p53 induced transcript". Lineage: Eukaryota; Metazoa; Chordata; Mammalia; Primates; Hominidae. The record is from RNAcentral.